This 484-nucleotide ribosomal RNA is filed under the name uncultured bacterium. RNAcentral describes it as "partial 16S ribosomal RNA". It matches the Rfam family "Bacterial small subunit ribosomal RNA", at positions 30 to 507 of the family's 1533-position model. The record is from RNAcentral.
AUUGAACGCUGGCGGCAGGCCUAACACAUGCAAGUCGAGCGGAUGAAGGGAGCUUGCUCCUGGAUUCAGCGGCGGACGGGUGAGUAAUGCCUAGGAAUCUGCCUGGUAAUGGGGGAUAACGUCCGGAAACGGGCGCUAAUACCGCAUACGCCCUGAGGGAGAAAGGGGGGGAUCUUCGGACCUCACGCUAUCAGAUGAGCCUAGGUCGGAUUAGCUAGUUGGUGGGGUAAAGGCCUACCAAGGCGACGAUCCGUAACUGGUCUGAGAGGAUGAUCAGUCACACUGGAACUGAGACACGGUCCAGACUCCUACGGGAGGCAGCAGUGGGGAAUAUUGGACAAUGGGCGAAAGCCUGAUCCAGCCAUGCCGCGUGUGUGAAGAAGGUCUUCGGAUUGUAAAGCACUUUAAGUUGGGAGGAAGGGCAGUAAGUUAAUACCUUGCUGUUUUGACGUUACCAACAGAAUAAGCACCGGCUAACUUCGUG